This 609-nucleotide long non-coding RNA is filed under the name Neogale vison (American mink). RNAcentral's name for it is "Neovison vison (American mink) lncRNA (ENSNVIG00000003280.1)". The record is from RNAcentral. Lineage: Eukaryota; Metazoa; Chordata; Mammalia; Carnivora; Mustelidae.
CAAGAUUUCAUUGUUUUUGACAGCAGAGUAAUAUUCUGCUGUAGACGUACACCUUGUCUUCUUUUUCCAUUUACCAGUCAGUCACCAGUCUGGCUCUUCCCAGAGUUCAGCUGCUGUCGGCGAUGCUGCCGUAAACAUCGGGGUGCAGGUACCCCUUCAAAUCAGUAUUUUUGUGUUCUUUGGGUAAAUACCUGGUACAGCAAAUGUUGAGUCAUAACGUAGUUCUAUGGUAACAUCCUGCGAGACCUCUGUCCUCUUUCAGAGUGGUUGCUUUUUUGUCAUUAAUGGAACAUGUUUCUUAAUGCUCCUCAGGAAGCGAUGAGUGAUAAAGCAGAGGAGUCCGCUGUUGGGCCCAAAAGUCAAAUGAAACAUUGUGGAAAACCCAUCACUGAACUUCCAUUCAAGAAAAGGCUGACCAUGGUGCUGCUUUCAAUGAGAGAGGAAGUAGAGGGAUCAUCCCAGCCUGAGGGCUCAGCCAUGUCUUCGGAAGAUGAAUAUGAAAUAGUCUCCAAAUUGCUUGAAGGAGUGCAAGGAACUCCAGAAGUGCAGAAAAAAUUUGUUGUAUAUGCCAUGAAGGAAGCGGCAAGGUGAGUGCCGGAGGAACUGUCC